Molecule: long non-coding RNA, 684 nt
Filed under: Micromonas commoda
Lineage: Eukaryota; Viridiplantae; Chlorophyta; Mamiellophyceae; Mamiellales; Mamiellaceae
Description: long non-coding RNA (MCOM_LNC000330)
Source: RNAcentral
GAAACACUCAACAACUCUAACAAUGCGUGAGGUUAUCUCCAUCCACAUCGGCCAGGCCGGUAUCCAGACCGGUAACGCGUGCUGGGAGCUCUACUGCCUCGAGCACGGCAUCCAGCCUGAGUGAGUCAAGCACGGGUUUUUUUCCUUUUUUGAAAUCAUUUCGCCGGCUCCAGAUCGGCGCGGAGAUGCGCGCCGUGAUGAUCGCGCGACCCUUCGCAUGCACCGCGAUGCGACCCAAACGCUUACGUUUCGCCUCUAUUUUCAAUUUAACAGCGGCCAGAUGCCCUCCGACAAGACCAUCGGUGGCGGCGACGACGCUUUCAACACCUUCUUCUCCGAGACUGGUGCUGGCAAGCACGUCCCCCGUGCUGUCUUCCUCGAUCUCGAGCCCACCGUGAUCGACGAGGUCCGCACCGGCACCUACCGCCAGCUCUUCCACCCCGAGCAGCUCAUCUCCGGCAAGGAGGACGCCGCGAACAACUUCGCCCGUGGUCACUACACCAUCGGCAAGGAGAUCGUCGACCUCUGCCUCGACCGCAUCCGCAAGCUCGCGGACAACUGCACCGGUCUCCAGGGCUUCAUGGUCUUCAACGCCGUCGGCGGUGGUACCGGCUCCGGUCUCGGCUCCCUCCUCCUCGAGCGCCUCUCCGUCGACUAUGGCAAGAAGUCCAAGCUCGGCUUCAC